AGUGAACGCUGGCGGUAGGCCUAACACAUGCAAGUCGAACGGCAGCACAGUAAGAGCUUGCUCUUACGGGUGGCGAGUGGCGGACGGGUGAGGAAUACAUCGGAAUCUACUUUUUCGUGGGGGAUAACGUAGGGAAACUUACGCUAAUACCGCAUAUGACCUACGGGUGAAAGCAGUGGAUCUUCGGACCUUGCGCGAUUGAAUUAGCCGAUGUCGGAUUAGCUAGUUGGCGGGGUAAAGGCCCACCAAGGCGACGAUCCGUAGCUGGUCUGAGAGGAUGGUCGGCCGCAGUGGAGCUGAGGCACGGUCCAGACGCCGACGAGAGGCAGCAGACGGGAAGCGUCCGCAGUGGGCGCGAGCCUGACGGAGCAACGCCUCGUAAGUGAUGAAGGUCUUCUGAUCGUAAAACUCUUUUAUUAGGGAAGAACAAAUGUGUAAUGAAAUGUGCACGUCUGGACGGUACCUAAUCAGAAAGCCACGGCUAACUACGUG
RNAcentral lists this ribosomal RNA (492 nucleotides) under uncultured bacterium. RNAcentral describes it as "partial 16S ribosomal RNA". It matches the Rfam family "Bacterial small subunit ribosomal RNA", at positions 29 to 507 of the family's 1533-position model. The record is from RNAcentral.